Long non-coding RNA from Phyllostomus discolor (pale spear-nosed bat), 725 nucleotides. RefSeq lists it as uncharacterized. The record is from RefSeq and is a predicted model, not a curated record. NCBI's taxonomy places the organism in Eukaryota, Metazoa, Chordata, Mammalia, Chiroptera, Phyllostomidae. The transcript has 2 exons.
GGUCCCUGCCAAGAAAGCAAACCCGGGAACUCUUCAAACUCCCCGCUAACUUUUCUUUCUUUCUCUCUCUCCCCUCCCCCUUUUCCCCUUGCAAUUUGUCUUCACUCUCAACUGAUGCUCACUUUAGUCUAAUGCUAAGCGAGGGCCUUUUCCCGAAGGUCAUCUCUUCCCACCCAAGGGAGAAGCCUCCGUGGAGGUAAAUGAGAGGACAUUGAAAAAGGAUCCCAUCAGGAAUCCCAUCCUGCAUUUAGUCAUCAUGUCUCCUUGAGUUUCUCUUGGCUGUGACGGUCUCUCAGCCUUGCCUCUGGGGAUCAGUCCAAUGUUUUUCUCAUGAUCAGACUGGUGGUAUGGAUUUGGUGGAGGAUGACCCUAGACGUAAAGUGCUACUCUCAUCACAUCAUGCCAUAUUAGACACAGUGCAUAAUAUCAACAUAAUUAUUACUGUUGAUGUUGACCUGUAUACCCUGGCUGAAGCAGUGUUUGUCAGGUUUCUCCACCGUGCAUGUCACCACACAGGUCAGCCUUGCUCCCUCCUUUCCACGCUAAACCCUUUGGAAGGGAGUCACCAUUGCAUAGGUACUUAUGUGAAGGCAGUGAUGGACUUCCUCAAGGGCAUGUACUGCGCUAGUUUUGUGGCCUGUGUGCAUGUAUCUCCAUAUGCAGAGAGUGGAUUCUCCAUAUAACUCUGAUACGCUGUAGAUUUUAUAAAACACAACAAACUAUGA